AGAACGAACGCUGGCGGCAUGCCUAAUACAUGCAAGUCGAACGAACUCUUCGGAGUUAGUGGCGCACGGGUGCGUAACGCGUGGGAAUCUGCCCUUGGGUUCGGAAUAACAGUUGGAAACGACUGCUAAUACCGGAUGAUGACGAAAGUCCAAAGAUUUAUCGCCCAGGGAUGAGCCCGCGUAGGAUUAGCUAGUUGGUGAGGUAAAGGCUCACCAAGGCGACGAUCCUUAGCUGGUCUGAGAGGAUGAUCAGCCACACGUGGGACUGAGACACGGCCCAGACUCCUACGGGAGGCAGCAGUAGGAAUAGUUGGACAGUGGGACGAAAGCCGUGACUCCAGCAAUCGCCGCGUGAGUGAGUGGAACGGUCCGUUUAGGGUAGUAAAGUCUUUACCGUUUAACCCGAGUACUAGAAUAAGUGAACGUAAGGUA
This 432-nucleotide ribosomal RNA is filed under the name uncultured soil bacterium. RNAcentral's name for it is "bacterial SSU rRNA". It matches the Rfam family "Bacterial small subunit ribosomal RNA", at positions 26 to 482 of the family's 1533-position model. The record is from RNAcentral.